This 589-nucleotide ribosomal RNA is filed under the name uncultured bacterium. Its description in RNAcentral is "bacterial SSU rRNA". It matches the Rfam family "Bacterial small subunit ribosomal RNA", at positions 102 to 677 of the family's 1533-position model. The record is from RNAcentral.
ACGGGUGAGUAACACGUAGGUAACCUGCCUAUGAGACCUGGGAUAACUAUCGGAAACGAUAGCUAAGACCGGAUAAUUGGUUUUCUCGCAUGAGAGAAUUAUGAAACACGGAGCAAUCUGUGGCUUAUAGAUGGGCCUGCGGCGCAUUAGCUAGUUGGUAGGGUAACGGCCUACCAAGGCGACGAUGCGUAGCCGACCUGAGAGGGUGAACGGCCACACUGGGACUGAGACACGGCCCAGACUCCUACGGGAGGCAGCAGUAGGGAAUCUUCCGCAAUGGACGCAAGUCUGACGGAGCAACGCCGCGUGAGUGAUGAAGGUUUUCGGAUCGUAAAGCUCUGUUGCCCUAGACGAACAGCAAGGAGAGUAACUGCUCUUUGUGUGACGGUAUAGGAGAAGAAAGCCCCGGCUAACUACGUGCCAGCAGCCGCGGUAAUACGUAGGGGGCAAGCGUUGUCCGGAAUUAUUGGGCGUAAAGCGCGCGCAGGCGGUCAAUUAAGUUGGGUGUUUAAGCCCGGGGCUCAACCCCGGUUCGCAUCCAAAACUGGUUGACUUGAGUGUAGGAGAGGAAAGUGGAAUUCCACGUGUA